UCGAGAAUUUUUCACAAUGGGCGCAAGCCUGAUGGAGCGACGCCGCGUGGGGGAUGAAUGGCUUCGGCCCGUAAACCCCUGUCAUUUGCGAUCAAACCUUGCUAUUUAAAAGGUGGCGAGCUGAUAGUAGCGAAAGAGGAAGGGACGGCUAACUCUGUGCCAGCAGCCGCGGUAAUACAGAGGUCCCAAGCGUUGUUCGGAUUCACUGGGCGUAAAGGGUGCGUAGGUGGUGGGGUAAGUCGGAUGUGAAAUCUCGGAGCUCAACUCCGAAAUGGCAGUGGAAACUACCCUGCUAGAGGGUCGGAGGGGGGACUGGAAUUCUCGGUGUAGCAGUGAAAUGCGUAGAUAUCGAGAGGAACACCAGUGGCGAAGGCGAGUCCCUGGACGACUCCUGACACUGAGGCACGAAAGCUAGGGGAGCAAACA
Molecule: ribosomal RNA, 426 nt
Filed under: uncultured bacterium
Lineage: Bacteria
Description: bacterial SSU rRNA
Rfam family: Bacterial small subunit ribosomal RNA
Source: RNAcentral